AACGCCUGGCAAGGAUGCUGGAACGCAUAUGGUCCCACCGCAACUCUAUCGUUCCCUUUGGUCGUUAGUAUCCUUCAUCACUUGUUUCGUUGGAAGUGCGAGGUAGGAUGGUGCUUAUAGGCGAUCUGGCAGCCCUUGAGCCCCCGGCUCGUAUUAGGGUGGUUUGCAGGUACGGGGAACGCACCCACGACCAUGUAACAACAACAACAACAAUAACAUACAUACAUACAUACAUUUAGUCGGUUGUGCGGCUCAGUGACGCGCCUUAACCUAACAUGCACACACGCCGCGUAUAGAGGGACAUCUGCAACUUUUCACAUGCGCUGAAAUACCCACAGCAGUCUACCUGUGGUAACGAGCAUCAGAAAUCCCGCGUGUGAUAUUGUUCCUAGCGGCUGAAGGAAACGGCGGAGCUAGCGCUACCCCGCUUCAUACCUUUUGGAUCUCAUACUUAUUAACUAUCCUUACUAGGCUAACACAUUUUGACAUUGCUUCGAUUGCCUCUAGACCUAUGAACAAAUAACACCGUUUGAAGCCCUUCUAAUAGCCCGGUAGGGUGGUAGCGUGCGAGGCAGCAGAUUGUGAGGAGGGCUCGGCUCCCUUGGCAUCUCCCUGAGCGCUCUUGUCUAGUCUACACAGAUGAUUGUUUCAAUAAUGCGAUCAUGUUGAGAUGUGCAUGUGUCUAGUGUC
RNAcentral lists this long non-coding RNA (690 nucleotides) under Volvox carteri. RNAcentral describes it as "long non-coding RNA (VCAR_LNC000581)". Lineage: Eukaryota; Viridiplantae; Chlorophyta; Chlorophyceae; Chlamydomonadales; Volvocaceae. The record is from RNAcentral.